GAAGGGGCUAGCGUUGUUCGGAAUUACUGGGCGUAAAGCGCGCGUAGGCGGAUACUUAAGUCAGGGGGUGAAAUCCCGAGGGCUCAACCUCGGAACUGCCUUUGAUACUGGGUAUCUUGAGUUCGAGAGAGGUAAGUGGAAUUCCGAGUGUAGAGGUGAAAUUCGUAGAUAUUCGGAGGAACACCAGAGGCGAAGGCGGCUUACUGGCUCGAUACUGACGCUGAGGCGCGAAAGCGUGGGGAGCAAACAGGAUUAGAUACCCUGGUAGUCCACGCCGUAAACGAUGGAUGCUAGCCGUUGGAUAGUAUACUAUUCAGUGGCGCAGCUAACGCAUUAAGCAUCCCGCCUGGGGAGUACGGUCGCAAGAUUA
This 370-nucleotide ribosomal RNA is filed under the name uncultured organism. RNAcentral describes it as "partial 16S ribosomal RNA". It matches the Rfam family "Bacterial small subunit ribosomal RNA", at positions 528 to 896 of the family's 1533-position model. The record is from RNAcentral.